AACCAACAACUAUCUAGCUAGCUAGUUGAACCCAGCUACUUGGGUAAAAAGACUAUAUUGCCCCUAACUUUCGAGUAAUAAAGGACAUGGAAGGAUAUUAUGGUCAAUUAUUCUUAACAACCAACAAUUAGCUGGUGGAGCUAUAAAAAUUCAUUAGCUAGCUAAAUUUUAGCUGGAUGGAUCCAAACAGGAUCAUAUUAAUUUAAGAAGGAAGGAUGGGACAUACUCUUUCUGUUCAAAAUUGUAUGGGAUUUUGGAUUUUUUUUAAGAUACAUAUGUAUCUAAACAUAACGUGUGUCUAGAUACGUAUUUGGAAAAGCCAAAACCCCUUGCAAAAUUUGGAACGAAGGGGUACAAAUCAAGUUCACGUUUUGUGUCAAUAAAUACAGUACCGCUCUCGAUUGAAUCCAGUUGAGAAACCACUCGGAUCACAAUAGCGUGAGUAACUUAGGACGGCCUCUGUCGAACAGCGGCAUGGCCACCGAGCUCGCGCGGCGCACCAUCAUUUUUGUGCCAUUCCCAGGGCAAGGCCACGUCAUCCCGAUGCUGCGCCUGGCGCGCAUCCUCGUGGACCGCGGGGACAUCUCGGCCACCGUCGCCGUGCCUGACUUCAUCCACCGCCACAUGGGCCAGCACUCUGUCCCGGGGGUGGCCUUUGUCUCCAUACCCAGCGGCGUCCAGGACGACGGCGAUCAGCCCCCGGGACCUCCGAGCUUCCUGCAUUCCUUGGAGCACUACAUGCCGGCCCAACUGGAGGCCAUGCUGAUGGCGCCGCACGGCACAGGGGCCGGCCGCGUCUCGUGCCUGGUUAUCGACCUCCUGGCGUCGUGGGCGAUACCGGUGGCCGCGCGGUGCGGCCUGCCGGUUGUUGGGUUUUGGCCGGCGAUGCUGGCAAGCUAUCGCACCGUGGCGGCAAUCCCGGAGCUUAUGGACAAGGGUCUCAUUUCUGAAUCGGGUAUGCCUUCAGUUCAUAUUGCGCGAUGAUGUAAUUCUUUUUAUGUCCCUUCUGUUCCCAUGAAUAUUUGCCUCGUGCACCUCUCUUCAGGCAUCCAUCCUGAUUCCCUUUGUUAAAACAGUAUGUCAGCGCGCAGUCAGCCUGAAUUUAGAGUUCUGUACAUAAAAAACGCUACCUACAUUCUGGUAUGGAUAAACAAACCUUUUUUGCUUUAUUCAGUAGAUCAAAAAUACCAAAAGUCCAUGCCACUUCUUGUCUUGGGAUAUAUAUAUCUUUAUAUAUAUGUAUAAUGGUAUUUGACGACGGUGAUGUUGGGUUUUAACUGCCUCAGCCUAUGUAUAGUUUUCUGUAUUUUCAUAUAUGCUAACAGAUUUUCCUUGCAAACAGAUUUCAAUUGCAACAAAGACCAGAACAUUGCAGAUCUCGACAUAUUGCCGGCAAAGUUAAACCUUAGAUUCCAAGAUCUUCCAUGGCUCAUCAGCAAUAGCGCAGUAUCCCAGAAAUCAAGACUAGCCUUCUGGUUACAGAUAGCGAAUCGUGCGAAAAGCCUCAGCUACAUCCUUGUCAACUCUAUCCCCAGUGAAGGUGGCGACUCUGACAAGUAUGAUCCACCACAGGGUCAGGAAAUCCUCCCCAUCGGGCCGGUAUUACUCAAUGACGACUCGACGAAGGCUACUGCAGUGUGGCAGACUGACCAGACUUGCAUUGACUGGUUAGACCAGCACAGUGUUGGUUCGGUGAUCUACGUUUCAUUCGGAAGCUGGGCUGCACCUAUGGAACCUGAGAAAAUAAGUGGAUUCGCACAUGGUUUGGAGGCCUCUGGCCAACCAUUCUUGUGGGCUCUCAAGAACCACCCAUCAUGGAGAGCAGGCCUCCCUGACGGGUACAUGGAGAAGGUAGCCGGCCGUGGCAAGAUUGUCUCGUGGGCACCGCAGGAUGACAUUCUGAAGCACGAGGCAGUGGGGUGCUAUAUCACGCACUGUGGCUGGAACUCGGCAUUGGAAGCUGUACGGCAUGGGGUUCGCAUGAUAUGCUACCCGAUCAAUUCAGACCAUUUCGUCAACUGUGCAUACAUGGUUAACAUGUUGGAGAUUGGAAUUCUGCUGGUUAGCAGUGACAGCAGCGAUGUGAAAGAUUGCAUUGAAAGAGUCAUAAAAGGCAAUGAAGGAAGGCAUUUACAGCAAAUGGUCAAUAAAAUGAGAGAAACAAUCACGGUUGGUGAGGCAAUGUGUGUUGCCAAGAGGAAUCUCAGCCUAUUCAUGGAGAGAAUGAAGAACAACUAGCUAAAUGAAGACAUCAAAAGAGGACAAGUAACACCGGAAAACAAAUAAAAUGAGGGUCCAUGUGUCCCAAGGUUUUUUUUUUAUUUCGGAGUCUAUUUUGAUUUUAAGUUGGUAAUGAUUCCCCUAUGUAUAUGUAUUGUUUUGCUUCCCAUGCAAUACAUCUGUCCCCAAUAACAGACUCUUAAUGUUGUGGCACCUUUUAUAACCUCUGAUGAAUGGUCAAUAAGUUUCAUUAGUUAUCUUUCCACUUAGUUGUGCUAUUUAUUUUAUUCCUCUUGAGAGGAACCACAUUUUGCAUGAUGAUUUGGAGAAAACCAAUAAUAUCAUGAAAUUUGGAUUCAGCCGAUCUAGUCAAAAAUAUAAUUUUUUUUUUGGCAGUGCCAUGGUUGAAUUUGCGGUAAUAUGUGCAUUUUACCUUGUUAUGAAAGAACGGGAAUAGAUGCGGUAAAAUGGUCAAAAGGAUCAUAUUGUGCUUACUUAUUUUUUGUCGGUUACCGUAUCUCCUACCUUAAGAAAUUAAAUGGCACCGAUACAUCUUGAUUCAUAGUUUUCAUAAUAUAGAUAAAUCUAUAUAAGAUAAUGCCAUAUAUGGUGAGUGGAGGGGACUGAAAAGCAAGAAGACACAGCAAUGAAACCUAUAGUAAUUGCGUCGCAGUAAGAAUCUCAAUCUACGGAGACGUCCUCAUCACUUGCACGUCGCGACGAGGAUCCUCCUGGGCGGCAAUGACGGCCGCUGCGCUUGGAGCAUGGGGAGGCGAGGUUAUCGAGGAUGAGGAUGUCGUCGCCUCUGCACCACUGGAACUGAAAACCUCUCCUCCUCGAUGAUCUCUCCGAUCCGCUGAAAAAGAUUGUCGGGAUCUCUUGCCACCAUCUACCGCCGUGGCAGCUCACCUCCUUCCCGUGCAUCCCAACCACCGUGUUGAACCACAUCCUCCGGCCCCUGCGGCCUGGGAAAACUCGUGUCAGCAUGUGUGGUCCCAGCUAGGAUCGUCUUGAGCCUUGACGCUGCCGUCCCGGAGCCACUCCAGGUCCAUGCCUAGCGAUUUGGCUCUGCACGACAAAUGCAUCUUGAUUCAUCUCUUUGUUUCUUAAGGUAGGUUUCUGCUUUUUUGCUCCUUGUGCAAGUGACCUACCUUUUGUAGGAGAAACGUGUUGUUAACUGGGAAAUAUGUCGAUGUUCACUGACCAGAGAUGGUAGCCAAUAGCAGCGUCACAGUACGGAGAGACAAGUCCUUAAAAUAAUCAUGAAUCAAAAUCCAUGAACUUAUGCGAGGGAUUAUUGUUGAGUUGUCUUGAGGACCAAUUUCUUGUUGCUUACGUGCUUAAGCAAAUUAUUUGUCAACAUCGGACUCUUCUUCUUGCCCUUUGCUUUGUUUAGGUGGCAUUCUAGGGAACAAUGCCAGCAUAAACAUACCUAAGAUUUUCCCAAGUGGCAUAGAGACUUAGAGAGUGUGAUUGAAAAAACAGGCAUCAAGUCGACGUGUUUGAUAUCUCUUCUCUGCCUCUGCCUUAUCCAAGGUACGGAAUGCGUCCUCCCACCCUCGCCCCCUCAUGGACUUGUUGUCAUUCUUGGUCAGCGCCGUCAGCGCGUACCGGAGCCCCUUGGCGUCCAGCACCUCCACCAUCUCCGGGAACUCCUCCAUCGCCCGCUCCGUCACCCGGAAGCUCCGCACGAACGGCGUCUCCCCGCCCUCCGGGAUCUUUGUCUGCCGUCGAGGGGGUCAGGACCAGCGGCAUUUGCUCGCCGUCUAUGGCCUUCUGUCCCUCGCAUUCCCUGGGCUGCGACGACUGUGAGUUGCCCUCCGUGACGAGCGCGUUGUUGAUGGAUACCUUCGCUUGCAGCCACUCCCUGUUUGCAUUCAGGGCCGCCAUGAGAGCCUCAUAGUCGUCGUUGCUUCCACUUUCUUUUAAAGGCGCGCCAUCUUUCAUGUUUUGAUCCUUGCAUUCAUCUGCGAUGAACUGAUCAUCUUUUGAAGUGCCCUCCAUGGUGGUCUCUUGUUACCUUAUUCCUGUGCUGUGUAACUGGUUUUUUUCUUCUAGGCUCUGAUUGAUAUAAAAGGGUUAACUAGGUAGCUUUGGUUUACCCUGUAAUUGAAACACGAUGGAAGAACAACGCCACUAUUUAUAGGCAGGAGAUUCAGGCAGGGCAGCUAUUCUAGUACAUUUAGCUGGUUUCUGGAGCUCAGAAAGUGACAUAAUUUGAAGUGGUCCCUGUAAAAGGAAGAUUGCUAGAUGGGGGAGAUAACAAGGGUAGUUUUGUAUAGGAUGCAUCGCCAUCAGCGAUGGGGGAGAUAACAAGGCGCUUGUAUUUGCCAAUUGUUGUAUGGACGGUCAAUUUUGAGUACACAAUAGCAACAGUCCUAAGAUGACUUCGAUGGCAUAUACCUGUCGUUCCAACUUUAAUUUGUGAUGGUUUUUUGACUUUUUGGUGGGUUGUCGCCUUGAGGCUAAGACACCCAUCGUCUAACAGUAUGGAAAUAUUUACAGAAAAAACGAGUACAAAAUAAAUUUUAAGAUGAGAACAAUUACAAUGCUACUCCACUGUUUUUUAUAAGAAAUUUGAAUGUUUCUGCUAGGGGUUUGUGCUGAAAAUAGAUAAUAAUAUAUUGUACUCCCUCCACCUUGAAAUACAAGGGAUUUUGAGUUUUUCCUAAGUCAAACUAUUCUAUAUUUGAAAACUUUUACAGAAAAGAACAACAAUGUUUUAAUGAUAUCAAAUGAGCAUAAGUAGAUCCAUUAUAAAAUAAACUCUAAUAAUUUAUUUCUUUGAUGGAGUGGAUAUUAAUACUCUCCUCUAUAAAUUUGAUCAAAUUUAAAAUUGUUUGGCUUAGGAUAAUCAUAGAAUCAUAAUUAAAAGGGCAUCAUAGUAAUUUCUCACUAUUUUUUACUUGGUUCCACCAAAUUGGUAUUUCUUGGUACUUCUCUUUUGGUACUUCAUAGUACUUCUUUUAUUUCUACCAUUCAAUUUUGCCGGAUGGACGGCUCUCAUUUUUUUCAAACACUCUAAAAUUUCUCAUAUAUUUUAGAUGAAGGGAGUACAUGCUUCAAACAUAAUGCCGUUGGAUAGUCCAAAACAAAGGUUCCUGGGAAGACUCCAGAAUGCUUCCUGAAGAUAGUAUUUAGUUAGAGAUUAGUUAUUCAAUACGCUCUUUGCAUACAAAAAUCAGGUUGUGCAUACUACAUCAACCAUCAUGAGUAAAUACGUCCAAAUGCUUCUCGGGAAAGCCAUGUGGUUGGAAAUCACAUGGGCACACAAUUGUUGAAAACAAAAGUAGAAAGAAUUGGAGGAAGAUCGCUCACGGGUAUGGCUGGACGGCUUGACCACACCUCAAUGGCCUGCGCACUACUCAUUUCUUUUUCUUUUGUUUCCAAGUUAACUCAGAACGACGUCUCUGUCUCUGACACAAUUUCGGAGUUAACGAACUAAUCAGUAAUCUCAUAAAAAGAAUGGACAGGUGCAAUAAGAACUCCACUUCCAAAAAGGAAUUGAUCCUCGUACCUUUGGUGAUGAUAGAACUAGUAACGGCAGUUGAUGCAACCUCUAUCAGUCCAUGGCUGGUGGGAUCCAAGUUUCCUUCUAGGUGCCUCGUACAGUUGUUACUACAAGAUUAUAAACUGCACCAUAUAAAUCAUUUUAUAUAAGAAAUAAAGGUACACGCUAAAAAAUAUUUUUUCUGUAGUCCUGAAUGUUUUAUUGGAAAUAUAUAAUUGCAUAUAUAAUUUGCAGUCUGCCUAGUAAGUUCCGACAACAGCAUCCUCCGAGCUCACACUGCUACUUCUCCGCCUGUUGCCAGUCGGCACGUCAUUAUUGAGUCUAUACGCCAGCUUUUUUGUAUAUUUCCUAUUGUUACUACCCAUGGCAUAAAAAGUUUAACUUUUUACCAAAGUGUGGUGAAGCCAAUAAAUAUAGGGAGAACGGAAUAUCCACAAGGAUAGUAAGGGAAGAAAUGAUGAGCGCAAAAGGAAAUAGUAUACAUGGUGGUGAGGAGAAUGUGUAGGGGUAAUGUUUUUGUUAGUUUAAGAAGAUUUCUCUAUUUUUUAUGAACAUAGUGCAAGUAGACAGGAACCACACUAACACUAGCAUGUCCAGCUCCAAAAUAGUCCCGCAUACUUAUACCACCUCUCUUAUACUUUCGUUCUCAUUUCGUAUAAAAAGGUUAUUAACCUAAGUUGGUCCUCACCCUUUAUACUUCCAAGGUGGUACUAAAUGUCUAAACCCACUAACUACAACCACAGUUAGGUCACAUGGGCCAACAAUUUCAACUACUAUGGUACACCCUUUCUAGUCGCUACUCCUUAUCAGUGCCAGGUAAUGGCACUCCCCGAUUAAUCGUGAUUAGUCAGACGACCGGAUAAGAUUGGGUUAGGGUUUCUCCAAGUGCCGGUGCAUGAGCCAACGUAGAGCUGAUGAAUCGAAUCAUCAUUAUGGAGGAGGGCAAUUCGUAGAAGAGAGAAAUUAAAGAAGACUCAUGUUUUUUAUCCGAUUCGUACUGAAUAAAGAAAGGAAGAAAGAAGUAUGUUGCUCUGGUUUGAGGAGAAACGAGGUGCACAAGUAAGAAGGGAAGUAAGUUUUAUGCUGUGGUCUCCACUUGCGUGGAGCUGAUCAUGAGUCGAUUUACUACUACUGAUGCCAGAGCUUAGCUAGGAGUAUGGAUGGCUAGCUAAAAACUAGCGCAAUAAAGCAUGUAGAGGGUAUAUUUGGACGAGAGAAUCGUUGAUUGAAUUUUUGUCCCUAGCUACCAUCAAAUUAAAGUAUUCAUAGGCCCUUGAUUUGGCACGCACCACAAAUUUUCACUGUGUCUUGAUCUCUCUGAUUGCGAGUGAAUGAUUGCUUCAUUGAUGUUCAACACACCCGUUCCUUUAAUUCAGCGAUCAUCGCCAAAUGUGCGAAUAAGCAAAGGCCACGGGUGUAACCACCGCCGCGUACCUUCCAUCAAGUUCAGGCACUCUCUCUCUCUCUCUCUCUCUCUCUCUCUCUCUCUCUCUCUCAUAUGCACACAGCCAUGUCUAGAGCCUUCCUGCCCACCGUCCUCAUCGGCCUGAUCGCCGUGCUCAGCAGCAGCACGGCGUCGGCGGACACGCCGGACUGCCCGUACCCAUGCCUGCCGCCGCCAACCUCCGGAGGAGCCAUUAACAGCUACCCGCCACCGCAACCGUCAACAGGAGCCGGCGGCGGCUUCGGCGGCAGCUACCCGCCGCCUCCGCCGGGAAGCUACCAGCUGACACCUCCGGGGGUGAUGCCCGGUUUCUCCCCACCGUACGGUGGGUUCCCGUCUGGGCCGACCCCGCCGCCGCCGAACCCGGUCCUGCCGUGGUUCCCGUGGUACUACCAGCACACCAACCCGAUCACGGCGACGACUUCGUCGGCGUCCUCCCCGGCCAUGGAUGGGAGGUCGAGGAUCACGGUCGGGGUUCUGCUCCCUCUGUCCUUGCUCGUUCUUCUGCUUCCUCUGUUGUAGAGAGUGUGUCGGUAGGCCAGUCGAUUGCCAUAAUAUAGUUAAGGUUGUUUAUUUUGUUAUUUUAUAAUUUGUUCAAAUGCUUGUGUUAUAUAUAGAGAACAACUUAUUUUGUGAAGUAUAUUUGUUUGAUUUUAGUCUAAUUUAAACAUUCAUAUUGUUGGCCUGUUCAGACUUCGGAGUACAACACGUUAUUUCUUUUUAAAAUCAAAAUUUUUAGAAAACAAAUUAUAACUUACAGUUCAUUUUGCCAAAUAAAAUAGACACAUAAAAUAGGGCAAUUUUGUUUUUGUAUAAUUAAUUCAGUUUGGUGUGCUCAAUUUCGUCCCUUAAUUGCUAAGCAAACAAGCAUUGACAGAGAGAGGCAUUCUUAGCUUCCUGAUGAUCACCUUUUCAGCUGUCUUGCAUAGCGGGAUUACUUACUGAGGCAGCAGGUUAUCUUUGAUCCAUUUCGUUUGUUGAGACGUCCAAAUCAAGCCAUUUAAGUCACUAGGAACGCAUCAACUGCAUAAUUCAUGUCUGGACCCACAGUUUCCCGUUUUGCGCGGUGCCUGUCUUUGUUGGCUGAAGUUUCUGGAACAAACACAUCUGGUUUAAUUUUGUGGAUAAUUCAAAUAACCUCAUGUUUGAGUAUCUACAUAUUUUGUGAAGGUGUAAGCAGCAUCACCUCCAUGAAAGUGGGCGAAACCGCUAAUAAUUAGACAUUGUUUAUAUAUAUGCCUCCUCCAUGAAAGUGAGUAAACGGGAGUAAAAAAAAUGCUGCAUAAUUGAAGAAAAUGCAUCUGUCAAAUAUCAUCUAUAUUUAGAGAAUCGUGUAGAGCACGUUGCCCGAUCUAGACGUUGCUUGUCACUACGUCAGGGAAACGCCACGCCGGUAGUGCGGCACCCCCCUCCGGAGGGUACAGCUAAUCGCCACGCGAAUCGGUGGCCAUCGUAGUGUCGUCCAGCCUCCCUGCAUCUGUUCAGUUUUCCCUCAACCUAAACGCACGAUGAACUUUUUCAUUGUUGUUAACCUUUUUUCACAGUAUUUACAAAAUAAACCUCAUGAUGUCUUGUUUCGAAAGAACAGAAUAUGUUAUUGGGGAUUUUGUACUCCCAACAAUCCCCCGUGUUGAAUAUAGAACUAGGCACAAGCUGCAAUGAUAUACGGCUAACUGCUAUAUGUAUAUAUUUUUAAUCAAGGAAUUUAUUAUUCUAGCCUCUGCAUGAGUGGUGCACUCAACUAUCCAUUAUUACAAUUCUCAACCACUAAAAAGUUGCUAACAAAAAGCAGAAAAGCAUAAAACAAACUCAUGAUGCCAAGACUAAGCACAAAGCCUAUUAGUAGACAUCCAACCGUGGUUUGCGAAGAUCUCCAUAACCUAUUAGUAGACAUCCAUCUCUAUAUGUAUACGGGUUAUAUUAGACCUGAUCAUUUGUCGGGUUGGGUUGGGUUCUUUCAGGCUUCGAGUAAAAAAAGUUGGCCCGCGCCUGACCCGUGCCGACCAUCAGGUCAGAUUUUUUAGCCCGUGCCCGACCUGUCACAUGGUCGAGUCGGGUUGGGUUAGGUUCGGGUUUUUAUUUGUAAUUUUUAGGUUGGGUUGGAUUUUUUUUGUUUUUGGGUCAAAAAUUUUGGUCUGUGCACGAUCCGUGGUUUAGAUCGGGUCGUAAAUAUCGGCCCGCGCCCACCCAACAUAUUGACCGGGUCGGAUCAGUCAGGUUUUUUCGGGUGGGUCGGGUUGGGUUUGUUGGGUCGGGUGGCCCAUGAUCAGGUCUAGGUUAUAUAUUUCAGGAACGUCCUAAUACAAAUUUAUGAUUGACGAUCCUCUCUACGAAAAAUGGCCUCCUCGGACAGGAGUCUACAUGCAUUCUAUUCAUUUCACCUUUUUCCUGUUAUUCCACGUCUCCCUAAGUUUGAAUCUUAGUCUUUCUAAUUUUUUAUUCUUCUUUUUUUCUUUCUUAUUGGGCAUGUGUUCCUCAGUUUUGAGACUUAGUCUAAAAACAAUUGUCACUCUUGGCUAUGUAUAUCCACAGUAAUAGAGGCAAGAUUCAUGUCCAUUAUCUAAAAAAAAUUCAACAUUCUCCUCUCCUCUUUCUUCAUCUCAUCUUCUCUCUUCUCUGCCCCCCAUUUAUAUUCAAGCUAGCCUUGGCUCUCACUGUAUUAUGUUAGAGAAAGAACACAUUUGCUCCAGUAUAGGUCAGAUUAUAUUCAUGAAUUUUAAUGCAUAGAAGAAGAGGAUUAUUGAUGACAAAAACUGGCAAGUGAGAGAGCUCACCAAGACAGCCGUGCCGUUUUAUCCCAGGUAGCCCAGCUACUUUUUUUGAAAUUAAUCUUUUCCAUAAAUUUCUAUUUUUAAAGAAUUAUAAUUUCUUCACACAGCUUUUACGUCUAAUUUCUCUAGACAACUUAUGACGACAACUACCUCUCACGUACCUUUUAUGUAUAACUUUUCUAAUUUUGAGCAAAAAAUUCACAAUGAUGUCGUUUGAACUUCCUGAGAGAAAAGUUUUAUAUUUAGAAACUUUUUAGAAAAACUUAUACAUAUAAUUCUAUGCCAUUCAACUUCUUCGAGAAAACUUGUUCACAAUAUUUUUUUCCAGAAAAAAAGGUUCAACUAACUUUUGUACAAAAUUUGUUCAGAACAACCCGAGUACCCGACCAAGCAGCGGCCAAGCUGAGGCGUGAUGGCCCAAACUCGGAUUCAUGCUAGAUGAAUAGUAAUGUGUAUUGUAGAUGGCCCAAAAAUUGAAUCUUAGGGGCCGCUUGGAGGGACAGAAUUAUUGGCCUCACAUUUGUUUGAUUGUUCCCCAGAUUGCUCCUCCGAAGAGUAGUUCGGCCCACCUGGCCCUUUUUUUAUUUCCCACGCGACCUAAGUUUGCCACGUAUACGAAUUUAUAAAGUUUUGUUUGAACAAGCCGCAUAGUGCUAAGUUUCUGUUGAUAUAGUAAAAAAUACAAAACUGCAGCCCCUAAGAGACCAUACUCUAUAAAAAAAAGAAGACUAAAAAAUCACUAAACUCAGACAGUUGAAUUGGGACAUCAACGCAACCAUACCACUCCACUCAAGCAACAAACUUCGGGUGGUUGGAUUGUGGGAUCAACAACUCACGCCACAUAACGUAUUGUGCCACUCAACUCGCAAUAGCCCGAUUGGAAGAGGCUAGAAGGACGAAAACACCAUGCGCAGAUGACAACAAACACUAGUAGAAACAGUAGCAUCCAUGACGUUUUGCGCGUGAUGUUUUAAAAUUUCGUCAUUGAAUAGACCAUAUCUAUGACGAAAAUCUAAGAUUCGUCAUAGAUCAUAGGCGGCAUACCUCAGCCACUACGAAAUUAUGACGAAAGUAAAAUGAGCGUCAUAGAACAACCGCUCAAAUCGUCACGAAACGGUGCGCUAUCAACACCUCGUAUUGUGACGACCAUGAGUCGUCAUAGCCGAGUACCUCAUGGAGGUGCAUAGCAUACCUUACUUGCACUUGUGUGUUUGUGAAACUAUUAGUUUUAUAUAUUAAAAAAACAAAUAUUUUGGGGCACGUGGAUAAAAAAGUGCGGCACCUAGAACCAAACGUGAAACCUCACGUCCUCCCUCGUCGCUGCCCAACAUCCAAGCGUGGGAUUAAAAAACAAAAUCAACCUAUCACUAAUUUAAAGAACAAUUAAGCAAGUAAAUAUAUAUAUAUAUUAAACUAUGCGCGACAAGCAUAUCCGAUUGAAUUCUAAAUAAAUUUAGGAGCAAAUUCAAUCUACAAUUUCAGAUGGGAGAUGGACACAGACACACAGUCGCGCCGUCGGCGGCAAGGCUCCUGUGACGCGCCUCCACAUAAACGAGGUGUCAACAGCUGGGCUCCCGCAAGGCCGUGAGCCCGUGACGCUCCUCCCUGUGGGCUUGCCGCACCUUCACACCUGAGCACCGUACACAUGAGCGGCUGCUUUGUUAACACCGAACUGGAGACCUUUCAGGCCACAGAGGCAUGCCUUACCACCGAGAUACACAUGCACACCUGCAAAGAUUCGCGUUUCAGUUUAUUACUAUAUGUGUUUAGGACGUUGCUACGUGGCACCUAAUGAUUGCCCGAGGUGCAUUGCCACGGAUGGCGCCCGAGAGAGAUCCACAUGCGACUGGUUGGGUUAAUUUCGUUGCACCACGUGGAUCGAGACGAAGAACAUCUUUUCCUUUUUUAAUCUGAAAUUAAAACUUAUAACAUGUAUUUCUCCCUCAUCAUAACUCCAAAUUUGAUAGUUUUUUCUGAUUUUUUUUCUAAAAUCACGCUCCUUCAUAUAAUGAUGUUUGUUUGAAUGUUAAUUGCUUAUUUUUUAUGUUUUUCAUCUGCCUUGUUUUCUUUAACAUAAGUAGAAAAUAGAAAGACUUUUUUUCAUAACAACUGCAAAUUUAACUUCAUAUUUUCUCAUAUUAAGGAAAAAAUAAAGUUGUGUCCAAAUUUAAGGUGCAUACGAGUUUGAAAAUGUUAUGAGGUAUGCAAACUUUGUUAUGUGAAAGAUGUACUCAUUCGUGAACAAUCUAUAGUCUCUUUUUGUUAAAACCAUCUAAUUUUUUUAUUACAAGAUUAUAGACUUAAAAUAUAUUUCCAUGCCAAUUUGCAGAAUGUUUUGAACAAAUUUAGAUAUUAUUACAAUUAUCCUAUGGUAAUUUGAAGAUUAAUGGUAACAAACAAUUGAAUUCUUCAUAUAUCUUUAUACACCAAAACAUAUGAGUCUAAAUAUAAAUUUUCUAAUUCUUUUUUAAUCUUUAUAGGGCACACGCAGUUCAAUUUUAAGCCUAAAUAAGCAAUAAAAAUAGUUAAUGAUUUGAUUAAAUGGCCCAAACAUUUAGCUUGGGCUAUUUUCUAGUAAGGCCCAACGCAUCUUAACCGUCCAUCUCCAAGUAUCGAUACUUUGAUAAAUGAACCAACACCCAGAAACAUAGCUCUUACGCAUCUUAACCGUCCAUCUCGAACCAACAAUUUGUAUCGAUACUUUGAUGGAUAAAAGGACCAGCACCACUUCUCUUAUGGUGGUACGAAUAAAUCUUUUUAGGCAUUGGCUAGGAUAAAUAAUAACUCUCAACCUGGUUAAAGAACUUGAUCAAGCUUAUUUUUGCAGAUGUUUAGAUAAGCAAUAAAAUUAUAAAUUACCUCCAAUUCAAGCCUUACUCAUAAAGCAUAAUCAAAACUGAAAUAUUUGUUCAUCAUAAAGCAUGGGUAUUGCAUAAACAAAUCAAUUUCUAAAAUCCACAACUAAGAUUUAGAAUUCAAGAUAAUGCUCAUCAUGCAAAGUUGUAAGGAUAAAAUAAAAGACAAGCAACCAAAGGUAGAUAUUAAAAACACUCGCACGAUCCUUGAUUUUAUGCUUCUUCUCACAAAGACGCUAAAGUAGCGAUCUAGGCCUAAGUCUUCCCAGAAGCUUAAGAAGACUACUACUUUAUCUACUUUUGAUUGAAAUAAAAAAACACUAAUUUAGACUCUCACAUGACUCGACUCGACCAAACUAGAUUCAAAAACUCCUUACGAGCAGCGAUCUCCCCCCCUCCCCCCACGCUUAAAUUCUACGACGUCCUCAUCGUAACUGAAUGAAGUACAAAAGGAGAGACUCUCGUAAACGCACUAGUGACGCUGCCUGCACUACUUGCGCAUGGGACGGUUGCUGCUUCCUUCGCCAUUAGCUCUGUUCUUCCUCAUAUUGCCGCACAUCCCGAAGAGCUUCCUCACGUUCCUUUGCAAGAACUUGAAGUCAUCCUCCUAACAGCGAUCAUGAUCUUCUACUCUUUGAUCCAGAGCUUGCAAGGCUUGCAUGAUGUUGUCGACGGUGUCAAAGAAGUAGUGGAUGUUCUUCCUGCAAGUGGUGCAACAUGUAUGAUCAUGCUCCUCCGGUUCUGCCUCGUCGUCCUCUAAAUCCUUCUCUUUGCCCUUGUCUUGACAGCGUUUUUCUUCCUCCUAACUUUUCUUCAUCUCAUCAGCUCAAUCUCAGUAUGUGUUGGCAUCUUCUUCGUCAUUGUGGCCUAUAGCACCCCACGAUCCGGGGCUCCUAUCAUCCUCCCAAUCGCUAUCACCUCCAUAGUUAGCCGGCGAGUACUCGGGCGUCUUCUCCACAUAGCUUUUGCGCUUGAUCCUGAGGAGCCUUGUUGAACGCCUUAUGGGAGCGACGACAGCCUCCUUCUUCUUCUUUGGCGCUUUGUCAUCACUCGAGAGGAUGAUGAACUUGCGAUCGGUGAGCUUUUCAAACGGCGCCUUGCCUCCAACGCUAAUACGAGCGUUAUGAGCUAUCCUUGGUGGAGUUUUGGGACCCAACACGCACCUCUUAACUUCCAUGUGAAGGGCGAAGGCGGCGGCCAAGGGAGAGGGUGGUGCCGAUCGGCCUGGGGAGGUCAGGCCGAUCAGCCUAGCCUCCUCUAGGAUCGGUUACUGCCUCCUCUCGUCCCCCGAGCUCCUGGACCUCGCCAUUGCACUCUUUUUCUAGUUUGGUGGAUCUGAAUUGCUUGUGUAGAUGCAAAACUCAAGCUCCAAUUGACCUCAUUAUAUACUCCUGAAGUAUUGACCAAGGAUCCACACAUUUUCAAAAACUUUCUCGCCCCUUCCUGCACAAAUUCACUUUCAUAUUCUGUCAUUACCAAAGAUGGGAAAGGGGGAACCGAUUCAGAGGUGAAAACCUCCCAGGCCGAGGGUUUUGGCCUCUCUACCCUCUGCUUUUUCGUGUCAGCGCGUACAUCUAAAAAUAUAUCUAAUUUUUUGAGUCCCACACAAAAAUUCGAAAGAAAUAAUAGAAUUUAAGAUAGAGUAAGUACAAGGUACCUGUUUUAGUGUCGUCAGGCUUGACAUGGCCGUUCUUCCUCUAUGGUGUAAACGUUAACAUAAUUAAUAGGCAUGACGUCAUGUUCCAAGAAUACCUUUCGUCGUUGUCCAUUCACAACAUAUUGAUCUUCUUUGACAUCCAUAAUCGUUAUCACUUCGGUAGGUGAUACAGAAUGAACCACGUAUGGUCCGUCCCAUUUGCUCAUCAAUUUUCUUUUACCGAAGAGUUUGAACCUAGAGUUGAACAGUAACACUUUGUCUUUUUCUUUGAAUUAUUUCUUGUGAAGCUUUUUAUUGAACCACCUCUUUAUUCUUUCCUUAUAAAUGCUUGCAUUGUGGUAAGCUUUAAGCCUCGUCUCUUCUAAUUCAUUGAUCUGAAUUCUUAUUUUAACUCUUGCAGCAUCAACAUCAAGAUUCAUCUCCUUUAUAGCCCAAUAAGCUUUAUGUUCCAGUUUAAUGGGAAGGUGGCAUGUUUUUCCAUAGACGAAUUGAUAUGGGGUCAUUCCUAUAGGCAUUUUGUGAGCCGUCCUGUAUGCCCAUAAUGCUCCAUCUAGCUUAUUUGACCAAUCCUUCCCUCCUUUGAUUACCGUCUUCUUCAAGAUAUCUUUUAGCUGUUUAUUAGAAGUUUCUGCUUGUCCAUUUGUUUAAGGAUGAUAGGCUGUAGAUACUUAUGUUCAAUCCCUAAUUUUGAUAGACAUUUGCCAAAAUCUUUUCCUGUGAAAUGUGAUCCUGAUCAUGAUUCUUGUCACUCCGUACCUGGGAAAUAUUAUAGUCUUGGUCAUGUGAAUUGAUUCUCCUGUUGACGCCUUCCGACAAGUAAUAGCUUCUACCCAUUUAGAUACGUAAUCAACCAUGACCAAGGGUGCUCAAAUCCAUAUGAAUUUAAAAAUGGUCCCAUGAAAUAUACCCCAAAUGUCAAAUAAAUCUACUUGCAGAUUGUAGUUCAGCGGCAUAGAAUUUCUAGCUGAAAUAUUUCAUGUUCUUUGGCAUUUCGAGCGAGUAGCAACAAAUCUCUUUGCAUCUUCAUGCAUCUCUAGUCAAUAAAAUCCACUUGCUCAAACUUUUGCUUGAGUUCUAAAAUGUCCAUAAUGUCCUCCGUAUUAUGAUGAAUGAUAUUUUUGAAGUACUGUUCCCUUUCUUCUCUUGGGAUGCAUCUUCUUAAUACUUCAUCUGUUCCAUAUAUAUAUAUAUAUAUAUAGGAUUAUACUAUACAAUACCCUGGGUACGGAAUAAUCUAUUCCGUACCCCGAGCCGAUUGGUGCGGUCAGGCGUGGCCGGUUCACGAACGUGGGUUUUCCGAUUUUUAUAUCAGCUCCUCCGAACGUGGGUCAACAUCCUCCCGUUCCUGUUCCUCCUAGCAGGAACUGCCACAGCUCGCCAUCCCCCGCCGCACGCCAUCGCUCUCCAUCCCCCGCCGCCGCCGCUUGCCACCCCUCCCCGCUGCCGCUCGCCAUCCCCCACCGCCGCCGCUCGCCACCCCUCCCUGCCGCCGCUCGCCAUCCCCCGCCGCCGCCGCUCACCAUCCCUCCCUGCCACCGCUCGCCAUUCCCCACCGCCGCCGCCGCCGCCGCUCGCCAUUCCUCCCCGCCGCCGCUCGCCAUCCCCCGCCGCCGCCGCUCCCAGACCCUAAGCUCGCCGCGCUCCACCGUCGUCGCGCCCUCUGAUCCUCGCAUCACCGCUAGUCGCCAUCCCUCGCCGCCGCCGCCGCUCGGCAUCCCCCGCAUCCGCCGCUCCCCAGCUGCUGGCGGGUAGGGCCUCCACCGCAUUCAGUUGUUAGCACCUCGCCAGCAGGCCGUCAUCUUCAAUUUGGCAUUUCGCAGCUGAUUCCACUGGUCCUCGUCGGUUAGUACUCCGUCGCGUCCUUGUUCUUCUCUUUAAUUAGUUGCUCUUGUGCGUUCCUGUCAUCAUGCAGUGCUGUCGAGUUCCUGCUGGCCGAGCCAUGGCCGAGCCGGGCAUUAGAUUCAACAAUCUGAUUUAAGCUUUUGAUUUCACGCAUCUUCCGUAGGUAACUUUGUUCCGUAGGUAACACAUCAUGAAGUUCUAUGCCAGAACUAAUGCAAGCACAUUGCUAGAAGCAUGUUGCUCAAUGUUCCUAAUCCAGUUUCUUAUAUCUGCCAAUGACCACAGCAAGGUCAGUUGAGGAAGCCAGUUCUUCAAUACUUCCAAGCACCAGUAAGAUUUUACGUUUUCAUUUUAAACUGAACAUUAAAAUGCACAAUCGCAAAUAGGAUGUCAGCAUAUCAUGGACAAGAGACAAUAAAGAAGAACAGAACACACCCGUUUGCUUUCAUCCAUGUCUGCUAUGUUGCCUAUCAAAAUUUUGUUCACAUUGUCAGAAGCAUGUUGCUCAAUGUUCCUAAUCCAGUUUCUUAUAUCUGCCAAUGACCUAUUCAAUGAUACAUUUGAUAAUUAAAUAUGUGACAUCUAGUAAAUAAAAUUACUGAACAAAAACAUUAUUCCGAGUAAAUACACCUGAUCUUAUUCUCUUUCUUCUUGAUUACCUUUCCUUUGCUGCGUUCUUCUUUUGUUUUUUCACUACUUUCACAAAUGUCUGGAACAUCCUUCAAGACAGCUCGUUGCCGAUAAUGAUCCCAGUAUUCUUCAAAAGACAUGUCUUUGCGCUUAGGCAUCGUUGCACACGGAGGCGUGCUCAGAGGAACUACUACUGGCAAUGUUCCCUAUAUAUUACAGAGACAUCCAAUGCCCUUUUAUAUACAAUGAGCACUGGACGAAUCCCGCAAAAACUAUUUAAUCUAGGUCAACCCUUAAGCGGGGUUUAAGGCAUGCUAGGCAUGCAAUGAAUGCGGCUAGCCUCACAAUCUUUUUUUCACUACAAACAACUUCUUCUAUUAAGGCAUGCAUGCACGGAGACAUACCAAGGAUUUUUGUUCCAUCCAUUUCCAGCCUUUCCUUAAUCACCAUGCAUGCACGGUUUCAGAGAUUGCUUUCCAUUGCAUGUGCAUGAAAAAAACUUCCCAUAGUCUCCGUGCUGCAUGGUGCAUAUCCACUGGUGAUCACAGACCAAGCCUUUUGCAAGUUUCUUGAAGGUUCAAUUUAACCUGCGCUGCAUAGAGUUUGGCCGAGGCCUCAAAUCGCCGAUCCGUUUUUUCCUCUUGCAUCCUUAUUUGACUGCUUCUCGUUCACACACACAACAGCUGCACAUAGAAAAAUUCAAGCUGUUUACAAUCGCACUUGGUGGUUGUGAGAGCGUUGAGAAGGACACACAUAUAAUUUUUUUUUCAAGGAUUCGGUUGGAGCUUCCUUUUUUCUACCUUAGUCUGGUUACAUUCAUAAAUCAUCACACACAUACAAACACACCGAAAAAUAAAAACAAAACCUUGUCCGAACCAAACAUACAAACAUUACCUAGCUGAGUAGUUGUCAUGAUGCCCAAACGGAUAACAUUGAAUUAUUUAAAUGUGUAGACAACAAAGACUGGAAUACACUGUUGACAAAAAAUAUUUAAAUUUAUGUACAACGCGUAUCUGGUCCUCACCCUUCCAUAUCCGUGUCCUUAAACUGCUCGUCAUUGCUCUCGUAAUCAAUAUAUUUGUUUUCUUGGCACUUCUUUGUGUCCUGCUGUCGCCCUAUGCUAUGCUCUUCUCCUCCACUAUCAUGCUGGCUGGCACUACUCUUAUGUUGUGCUCCUCGUGGCCUGCCUCUCAUUCUGUUCUUCAAUACUUCCAAGCGCUCUUUGUUAUGCUGGAGUUUGGGACAUGUUCUCGCGUUAUGUGUUGCGUAGUACCCACAAAUACUGCAUCUCCUUGUGCCCUUUUUUACACCUUUGGCUCCCAACAAAAUUUCCUUCUUUUCAGAUGGUGGUAUACUCCGCCCUUUAGUCUUGGCUCUCGUAGGUGGGACUCGGCUGAUCAGUCUAUCAUCAUUGGCAUGAUACUGCAAAGAUUAUUGCACAAACUUUAAAUUCAAUGCAACAAUGGUGAUGGCAUUAAUUAUUUCCAAACUCAUUCUUCUAACCUCGCCACUGUGGGUUGCACAUCCUUCAUGCACUCUUGCAUCUUUAGUUGUCAUGUCUGUUUGGUUGGUUAGCACAACCUCGUUGCACACAAAGUCUCCGCCAAAAGCAUCCUGAAAUACAAUUAACACAUCUCUUUUAAUAUUUCUUGCUGAUAUGCAAGUUAACUUGUGUCUUUCCCGUAUUUAUACUACUUCCAUUACAAAUCAUACCAGAUUUGUUGCAAGAACCAUUUUCCCUUUUAUACUCUCUCUGGCUUCAUUUCCAUCCAUGUUCGCUUGUCGCAAUUCCUGCUUCACAUUGCGUCAUUGUUAUUGUGCAAAUCUUUUUUCCUAGUGUGUUAACUCGCAUACACCUGUAUCAUGAUACAAGCCUACCUGGGUAACCCUUUUCGCCAAUUGUUUAUCAUUUGUGUUGUCACCAUAGCCAUCAACACUUUCACUACAAUCUGAUAACUCCUGCAAAAUCAAACCCAGAUGUAUGCGGUUAAGUGCCUUGCCAUGCAACAUACACUUCAUGCAACAUUUUAGAAUUUUUACCUCUCCAGGUGAUUCUUGGUGCAUGUUUGUUGUGCUUGGCCCGAUGUCAGGGGGUAUUUCUUUGUUAUCUUUGUCAAGCUUUGCCAACACCUCUCUCGUUCUAAUGUGCGCAGCGCGCGACAUGCUCCCAGACCUGACUGCAGCCAUUGCUAGGGACAUUAGAUCUUUGAUUCUGUACAAUUGUGUGACUCCAUCAGCCCCAACUAGGAGCUUGUCAUUCCUGUCGAAUCCCAACUCCUGCUGUGCAUAUUUUGUGUAUCUACGGAGAAUGUAAUGUUGUGGUAUUCUAUUUAGCUGGAUUCUCAAGAAGGCUCUCAACAAGUGCACGCAGAACAAACCUAAACAACCAAGAGAGUAUAUGUACUGUUAAUAAGAAAUUGGGAUGUACGCUAUAAAUAUUGUAACAGUUUUAUCAUGUACCUGUACGCUGCCACUCCUUGCACUCGCAAUGAAACUCGCCAUUUUCUUUGUUUGCACGUACUUUGAACUGGUGCUGCCCCCAAGAUAUUUUAGAAGACCUAUUUGUGUGAGUUACCAGAUAGCAUGUUUCACCCUCUAUUGGAUUGUCUUCUAUAUCGAAAGUCGUGCAAUCGAUCAUCUUUUUUUCAAAGUCUUUGAACACAUUUCUAGUAUAAAUUCUUGAAACAUGUAUUUCAAAUGGCCACUUGCUUCUUGUGAGCCUUUUGCUCUGUCACAGUACAAGCGCAACAGUUAAUUAAGGGAAAUGGUGUUUAUACACGCACUCCAUAAAUAUGAAUUGACACGCUGGUUACAUUACCGUUCCAUGGUACGACUCUUCAGACUCCUUCAUCUUACGUGAAUGCAUGAAGCAAGCAUUUUUUUGGCGAACCUGUGCAAAGCCGUGUGCUUGUCAACAAAAUACUUCUUCAUAACAAAAUUUGAGCUCUCGCUUCUCUGUGUCGAUGCCAUCCGGCCACAAUAUUGGUCUUUGAAAUAUGCCAGCACAUACAGUUCUCGCUGGCAGUAAAGGCUAUCUAAAGUGCUAUCCUUUUGUAGGUCAAACUCAUCCAAUAGUUCCUGCCAAGCGGCCUCAAACUCCACAGGGGUGAGUGGGUGGUUUAGCACAGAAUAAAAUUUGUCCUUGAAAUUUUUCUUCGCAUACAUCCCAAAGAGGUUGGUUAGAUGUGGCAUGUGCUUGUUCUUGGUCUACCACAAGAUGCAAAUUCAUCAUUGUUAGUUCUUUAAUUGCUCUAAAUUAUUGUAUAUGCUCAUGUAUCAAAUAUUUUUAUCAGAAACAUCAAUGAUGAACAUAUUACCUGUGAGGAUACACCUUGUUCUACUUUGUUCCAUGCACUUUUUGAAUGCUUUGAACACCCAUUCAAAAGUUUCAGUUGUUUCAUCUCCUACCAAUGCACAUCCAAACAAUGUAUUCUGCAGAUGGUGGUUUGAUCCAACAAACAUUGCUAGUGGCUUCUCAUAAAUAUUAGUCUUAUGAGUUGUGUCAAAGCUCAUUGCAUCACCAAAAUCUGCAUAAUCGCGCUGCAUGCUUGCAUGACUCCAGAAUAACCUGUGUAUAACUCCUUCAGAGUCCAGCUUGGGUUCCCAUCGGAACUGCGGGUUUUGAGCCUCACAAUCCUUGAAGAAUUCAAUAGGCUUGUUUAUGUCAUCUGCGUGUCCUUCCCGUACAUUAGUGGCCUUCCUGUAAAACAGGUUAAAAAAACUCAACAUUUUAUCCUUCUAAAUUGUAAGUACAUUUCAUUAACGACACCAAUGAUCAUAUACUUUAGCUUGGCAUGAACCUUACUAUUCAGGAAUAACAAACUGUGUGAGGUUCUUUUACCUGUUCUCUAUGUCCCGCGAUGUUAUCGGAACAAGCUCUGCACCCCAUGCAUAUUUUGCAAUACAUUCUUUAUACUUUGCGUACUCACGCCGGCUUCCUGCAAUUCAUCAAUUAUUUGAUAAAGUACUGGUUCCGUGCUCUUGUGUGACCUCAUUUUCUUGGUUUUCAAAGGCGUAUACAACAGGUGGUUGUGAAAUAGGUUUGCCUUUUCUAUAAUCAUAUCUACUUCGUUGCCUUCACUGUCAUACACUCUCGUAAACUUCAGAUGAGCUUUGCACUUCGUCUUCAUUGUUGUCUUGUUCCGUACUCGCAGAGCCUCAUCACCUUUAUAAAAAUCUCCUUUUUCUUCACAGCUACACCUCAUCACUCUAGAGAAUUUUUUCUUGUUGCACAUUUUCACGCCGAACCCGGCCAGUUGUGCAUAUCUCAUGUAGAAUGCCUUUGCUUCAGCUUCCGUGUGGAAUGACAUCCCUUCUCUGGGUAUCAUAUUUGGAUCCAUGCUUUCAUUCUGCUUCAAAUAACAUUAAUUUCAAUUAACAUCAUAUACUAAUGCACCGUCAUAUGAAUCAAUAUUUGCGUAGAAAAUUCAAUUAUCAUCACAGCCUUAAAGAUAUGACAUAAUAUAUAUUUUCACUGACUGCUCUCAUGCAUUUGUGCUUUUUAACUAUGCAUAUCACUGCUUUGUACAAUUCAAACAAAGAUUUAUCAUGCAUCACUUACGUGUGUUUGUGGUGGAAUUUCUUCUUCACUAGCAAUCAUCUGGUUUGCGUUCAAAGUAUCUGGAGGUGAGAACACAAUACCCUGUCUUCCCGUUGUAAUGGUUUGAUCCUCAUUACUCCCUUGCUAGCAACCUAUCUGUGUGGGCGGAGUUCGAAAUCCAGUGCUGGAGCUCUCCAACAUCUCCGGAACUUUGAUGCAGGAGUUAAUAGUGUCUCGUUCUCCCGGCUGGGACGGUUCAGAUCGUGGCAGUGACCUUUCCGGCACUUCUGUAUUUCUCACGUCGACGGCGACUCUCAUGUCGUUCAUCUCCAGCCUUUUCGGUGAAGGGCUAUCCGCAGAGUCCCUACUCGGCGCGGACGGUCCUGCUUCUUCAAACAAUAUCCUCCGACAACUCAUCACUGGCAAGGUGGUCUGAAAGGUAACAACACAAUGCAUAUCCAUUAGAGAACUGUAUUUCGCCGAUUCAGAGUUUGUACAAAUAUUCAAUGACACAACAACCAUCUGGAAAAAAAAAUUGUUUGGAGCUCAAAGCUUGGAAGUUGCACUGUCUAGAGUUCAUUGUCUAAACUGAAUGGCAAUGACCAUUCCCACUCUGAAGACCGUACAUUAAGACAACGAACAUUGGAUAAUACUACCUGCAUACUGUUGCAUACUGAACUUGUACGUUCAAACUGCAACUACAACCUGAUUCAGAGUUUGUACAAAUAUUCAAUGACACAACAACCAUCUGGAAAAAAAAUUGUUUGGAGCUCAAAGCUUGGAAGUUGCACUGUCUAGAGUUCAUUGUCUAAACUGAAUGGCAAUGACCAUUCCCACUCUGAAGACCGUACAUUAAGACAGUGAACAUUGGAUAAUACUACCUGCAUACUGUUGCAUACUGAACUUGUACGUUCAAACUGCAACUACAACCUGAUGCAUGGGCUAUCUCUUUCACUUUCAGUAGUCUGAACCCUGGAGUCCGACUCUCAAGACAGUGAACAUUGGUCUGACAUUGGCUCAAUAUUUUGAGUCCGACUCUCAAGACAGUGAACAUUGGUCUGACGUUGGCUCAAUAUUUUGAUGCACUCUAUAUGUAAAUGAUGGGCAUCAACAUGCAAAAUGGGAUCUAUGAUACAUAGUCAACAAUUGAAAGUAGCUCUUUGUCAAGACAAAUUCGGUUUGAAUAUUUGAAUUACAUCUCAAAGUUAGGAAAGUGGCUGUAUGAAAGUGGCUGUUUGACUGACCAAACUGAAUGCACAGCAGCCCUUCGUUGACGAGGAUGCCGUUCGCUGCCCACCUCCGAAAUCUGCGGGAGCCCCUCUCCUCGUUGAUGACGGCACAGGCAGCAGUCCUCGUGUUUAUGACAGUAACAGCGGCGGCCGUCCCUGCUCGUCUGCGCGGAACCACCCCAGGGCAUCAACGUCUUCUUCGUAGAACGCGAGGACAGCACGGCGUUUCACGUUGGCCGAGAAGACGCAGUAGACGUUAGCGCGGUCGCGGCGUCGCCGUCCUCUGGGCGUUGCUUCCGGCGGGAUAGCGGCGUCGUCCUCCCCUGGGCGUCGCUGCGUCCGGCGAAGGGGCAUACGGCGGCGGAAUUGGAAACUGCGGUUCCAGAUGCAAACGUGAAACGCACGGGAGAAAAAAAAAGAGAUGCGGACGGAGGGUCAGUCGAGCGCGCGGGACGCGCGGGAGGCCGGUGCGUGGAGGGACUCAGGUACAGAAUAGCUUAUUCUGUACCCUGGGGACCGAAUAGCGGAAUAUAUAUAUAGAGAGAGAGGGGGUAAGAUGCAUACCAAUAGUAUUUCUUGCUUUUAACAACAACUUUAUUUCCUCGUUUGGUUCCUGGGAGCAGUACUACUUGUGGGCUUGUGGCUGCUGCAGAGUGCAGAGCACAACGUAUCCAAAGUCCAAACGCCAUGGGCCGUUAGCCCAUUAUUGUGCUGGCCUGGUUGGUUGGGGGCUAAGUUCGUCCAACUCCAACGGAUCAACAGGCAACAGCUCCUGCGCAUUUCGUCGAACAGCUCAUCGGCCAGGGGGGCUCCGUGGCGUGGAUCGCCGCAAGGCCCCUGCUGCUGGUGCGCUAAGGUCAGUUUGCGCUCUCCUCCUCCAUCCGGCUUUCCUUUUGCGCGCUAGUCCGGGGCGUGUCUUUUUGGUCUUCUCGAUACCUAUAGCUUGCUAGUUCCUCGGUGGUAACGACGGAGAAAUGGUGGGCGCGAUAUGUUGCUGUUACGUUCUGACAUCUACCCGUUGGCUGGUCAAGAUGAGCUCGUAGCUUUGCUAAAUUGGUGACUGGAUUUCGGUUGCACCGAUUAUUUUCGAGCGAUGGACAUCUGGAAAUCUAACUGUCCGUACUACCCUGUUUUAGUUCAUCUUGAGCAAGACAGUCCAGAUUCUUUUUCGCGGUGAGGAACGCAUAGAUGAUAUUGUAGUACACCACUAUUUAUAGCAUCUUUGGAGUGUCUGGAACGACAACAGCCUACGCCGACAAACCCAAUUGACACAAAACUUGCAAAAUCUGAACUGGGUAUAACAUUGUAGGUGUUAGGCGUUGUUGAUUGAUUUAACACCAACAAGCACAAUAUUCUCUCUAUCAGCUCUAGUGCUGUACAAUGAUUCUCGAUCUCGAGUUCUGAUUAAUAAUUAUGCUAUUUACACACUAACAAUUACAAAUCCCUGCUUUUGCAGUGUCUGUGCUAUUUAAUUUGGGCCUUGUGAUAAAUCAAGUUGUCUUCACUAGUUACCUCUUCUGGAAGUUGAAUAUCUUGAGCGAGAGCCCGAAAAGCAAGGCAAAGAGCACAGGAAAUGCGACCACCACUACGGCGACUGCCCACAAGAAGUCGUGAUGGUACCCAAAGUAGUCUUCGACAAAGUCAGAUAUACGCACCCCAUUAGUAAAUUCCAUGGUUACAUCUCCAAACUGUGAAGUGACUAGACCGUUGAGAGUCCAUGCGAUGGGGCAAAUCCAGUAGAACCACCUCCACCAUACUGGAAUUCUCUGUAGGGGAAGUUGUCAUUUAGCAGAGGUGGGUUAGUAUAUAAUGAAAAGUAGGAGCGCAGUUUGGUUAGAAGUGAAAGUACUAGACCUCUGAAAGAGUCACUAAUUCUUACCGUUCUUGGUAUUAAAAAUCCUGAGAAAAGGUUCCAAAUGGCAUAAAACGCCGUGGAUGCAACGGAGGAGACGUUGUAGUUUGGAGUCAGGCCCACCAUCAUCAUGCCAUAAAAUGUGUAGUACGCUAGAGUGAAGUACAUGAAGAACAGGUACCAAAAGAACUUGGCAGCUGUCCAUUCAAACCCAAUCAUAGCAUACACUAGCACACCAUAUAUUAAGGACUGAACAAAGAUAUAUGGAAGUUCUAUUGCAACCUGAAAAUUGAGGUACAAGUUAGAAGGAUUGGUUGUUCCUGUGUUUCUUUCUACUUAAUUUUUACUUUGUAGGAAUUUUACUGAUUGUUAUCGAAGAGCAUCUGAUUGUUAUCUCUGCUUGACUCUUCAUUUUUUUGGCAUAGAUUUUGAAGUGGUUGUUGGAUGUAGUGAAUUGCAAUGAACUUUACCUGUCCCAAGGCAUAUGGCAAAGGUGAGUACAUGUGAGCUGCCCUUUCCCUGUAAAAGACUGUCCGCUCAACUGAUACAACUGGCUGAACUGAACCUGAAUUCUGUACUCCCAUGAAAAUGACCGAGGCAUACAUGGAACCCAUGGCAUUGAACAAGUCCUGUUGAUUAUCCCUGCAAGAGUAGAAUAUCUCCAGUGAACUGCAAGUUUGUGAUAAAUGGGGACUAGAGGUAGCCUCUGUAAAACUAGAAAAUUUGACAUUCAAAUAUUUCUGCUUCCUUUUGGUUAUUAGCAUUACCUUUUUCUCCCUACACCCCAGAACAUUGUUCCAAACAACAGGGCAAUCACUGUUGUAUAGAAGUACUUGACAGCAGUAUAUGGAGGAUUUCUCCAAUAUGACAUGCUUUGCUUCCACAGGCAAGCAAAACACUGUGUGAUGAAGGUCUGCGAGUAUUCUGUUGGAAAGGAUAGAUCACUUGAACCUUCAGGAGGUGUGCUUAGCUCCUUUAUUAAAGUUUUGUUCCUCCUGAAAUGCAACAAAAUUACAAUAUCAUUGCAGAACUGAAACAUUGUUUGACAAUGUAUUAUCCUUUUGUGGAAUUGAAAUUAUCAAUUACAAAAGAUAGUGUUACAGAUUAGUACUCUGAAGCUUUUGAAAGGGGAUGUCUAGUUUUAGAAUUAUUUUUGCACAUUCUGUUUCAAACUAGGGAAAACACAAAUAUUCAACAAUAGGGAAUGUGGACCCGGUACCCUAAAACCUUAGUGGUGUCAACAUGGGGUGCAUAUGGCUCUAAGAAGUAAAAUCCAUACUCUUGAAAAAGGCCUUUUACAUUGCAGUUUAAGGAUCUGCACUCUUCUAACAAUCUUUAAAAACAAUGAAGAAUCCAUUUAUAGUUUCUACCUUUUUUUCAAAUUCGAGAUUCAGAGUCUGAACAGAUAGGUCUGUACUUCUAUAGCCGUCAAUAAGAUAUAAACUAUGAACCAUAACGCACAUGCACAUACCUAUAUAAUUCUGAAUUCUUGUACACAUCACUGAAGUUGACACCAGUUAUUUGUUCUUGCAUUGUACUUGUCACUUCCAGCAUCCAUGUUGAAGGGUUGUAGCCAUCUUUUAUAUUGCUGACACCUUCGAUAGCCUUGGUAUAAUCAAUGCAAACCAAUUAGAUAACAUGUUGGUUUAGUGCAAAACCAUAAAUUGGUGGAAAUAUAAAAUAGUUCAUUUGCUCUUUGCUCACCUCAAAAUACUUUAUUAGCUCGCAUGAAUGCUGUCCUAAUGGACCUACAUAGAUCUCUUCACCUCCACGUUUCAUAAGGAAGAGCUGCAAAAGUGCACAGAGCCAUUGCCCAUUAGGUGUUAAAGGUAUAGAAUAAAUGCAAACAGCCAGUGUGUUGUUUUACUCUUCUGCAUUCUAGAAAAGGAAAAUAUGUUUAGUAUAGUUUUCUUCACCUCAUCAAAGGAUUCAAAGAUAUCAAUGCUUGGUUGGUGAAUGGUACAAACGACCGUUCUUCCUGUGUCCACUGUAUUCCUUAUUGCCCUCAUGACAAUGGCUGCUGCUCGUGCAUCAAGUCCAGAUGUCGGUUCAUCCAUGAAAAUGAUAGAAGGGUUAGCAACUAGCUCGACUGCUAUUGUUAGCCUCUUCCUUUGUUCUGUUGAUAAUCCGUUCACACCAGGCAAUCCCACCAAUGCAUCUUUUAAGGGUAAAAGCUCCACAAGCUCCAUAACCUCAUCAAUAAACAUCUGCACAGAGCAAACCAGGUUCAUGUGUCAUAGUACAUAGUGGGACUAGCAAGUAUUACUUGAUAAACUGUAAAAAUGACAUGCAUGUUGCAUCAUAUAUCUAACUCAAACUUUUCUAUGAACUCAAAUUCUAGUAUUGUCAAGAUUCCAUUUAUAUCACUACAUAACAUUUUAGACCAACCAGCAAAAUUACUCUUCACAUUCUAAUCAUGUUUCACAUACUUUUUUUAAUAUGCAUGUGUAUUUUAUAUUAUUGAAAAGAGGUGAUGUCUUGGUUCUUUAUCAAACCUUUCUUGUUGAUGAAUCAACAUCAGCAGGUAAUCUGAGCCAUGCAGAGAAUGCAAGGGACUCGUAGACGGUAACAUUUGGUGAAUGAAUGUCAUUCUGCUCACAAUAUCCUGAUACACGAGCAAAAGUUUCUUGCUUCUUUGGGUAACCUGAUAUGGUAAUAUUUCCCUCAAUGUAUCCGCUGGUCUUCCUCCCGGCCAAUACAUCCAUCAGUGUUGUCUUGCCAGCACCACUGACCCCCAUCAGAGCAGUAAGCACACCUGGCCUAAAUGAACCACUUAUACCCUUCAAUAGUUCCAACCGGGUCUCUGUGACACCUUGUGCUCUGAUUUCCUACAUAUUUAUUGGAUAAUUUAAUUAUUAUAAAUGAAGGUUUUGCUCUAGAUGGUAUGAGAAUACAACGGAAUCUGCAAGAAUAUUUUAUUUCUAUAAUAAUUUCCUUAAAAAGUAAAUACCUCUGGCAUGUCUACACUGUAUCUUAUAUCUUCAAAUGUGAUGGAGAGAGGUACAAAAGGAAGGACCAUUCCUUUGUUGACUGGACUAGAAUUUACUGUUGCAUGGUUGGAAGUUGCUUCAUCGUUGUUCUCAUCCACAGUACCUGAUAAACAUAUCACAUAUGCAUGGUUAUCAUAAAAUUGCACAAAAAUAUAUUCUAUUGUCAUGUUAUUUGGUGAAGAUGAAACUGUAAAUACUUUGAGUUGUUACUGUAUUGCUGGCAACCCUUCCUCUUGAUGAUGCUUCUAAAACUUCACCAGUUAGAUUCGCUUGUUUUAUCUUUAAUGUCUCCUCAGAAAUUGUUGGCUGAUUGCUAUCAAAUGCUGCAGGGAACAUAAUUUGUAAGAUUUGAAUUUAAGCUUUGUUUGCCAUACACAAAUGCCCUUUUAAAUGCAAGAUAAAUUUUUACUCACGCUUGAGGAAUGUGAGGCAGACAGUAUAGAGGGUAUUGAAUAGGAGCACAUAUCCAAUCAAGGCGCCCACACCAAUCCAGUACCAUUUUGCCUCAGGAAAAAGUCCACGAGAUUCCAGAACUAGUUUUCCAAGUGGUUCUGUGGAACCAGGGAGUAUCUGUUACAUAGAAGUAUCAAUAAGCUUUAUCGAUUAGCCAGACAUGUGAAGGUUAUACUUUUCUGAAAAUAUAUUUUUACCUUAUUCCAGCUGUCACCCAGGAAUUCAUUUACUGAUAUGGCAUUUUGUGCAUACAUCAGGGGUGAUAUCCAGUAUCCCCAUAUCCACCAUUUCUUCACAUUCUCUGUUAAAUCAAAGGAAUAGUUUAAUUCGUGAUUUCUUAUAUAAGUACCAUUGCCACAUCAGAUGCAGAACUAACAACUGAAAUUAGGCAAUUUAAGCCAAAUUUGUGUACAUGUUAACACUAUAUUUUGAGUUAGCUACCUUUGCAUACCUCUUGCCAGUAGGAAUCCACCCAAGAGCAUAAAAAUCAGAAUGCCAAAUGAACCAAGGGUGCUUGCAACAACCUGAUGCCUUGCCAUCCCAGCAAUGAAACGGAACAAUCCAGAUGAUGCCUCAUUCAUUAGUAAGAGGAGCAGGAACUGUCUAAAAAGUCUGCAGCAUCAUGUUUUUUAAAAUUUAGUUAGCUACUUAAUACACACAUAACAUGCUGAUCUAGUAUAGAAAUUUUGAUUUCAUUACCUUUCUACAUUGGGAUCGAAUCCAAUGACAUAGUAUGUUAUGAAGACCCAAAUUGUUACAUUGAGCAAGGAGAGGGGGGUCUUAAUGAUCCAUGACGGCAAAGAGUACGUCCAUGCAGGAUAGAAGAGAAGAUCCCUUUGCUUGAAGAAAACUGGGAGCUUUGCAAUAGUCAGGCCAACUUCUGCCAAUCCAUUGAACAUGAUCAUCAGGAUCCCAAAGAACAGAGCACCCAUGUAUAUCCUUCCAUCUGUUAUUGAGUCACGAUGCAUAUUGGUUCGGAGGAAGACGGUCAUUGCAAUGAUCGCCAUGAGUGUUAACUGAAGAAUAGGUAAAGCAACAAAAAAGAGCCAUUAUUUGGUUAAUGUUUUACUGAGUAAAAACAAGGUUAUUGUUCAACUUGUUUUGAAGAUUGUUUAAGGUGCGGCUGAUAUAAUUUGAAUUGAAAAGUGUCAGUGUUUCAGAAUCACCUGAACUGCCUUGAAUAUGUACACAAAGGAGUUUCUUUUCAUUAACAAUAUCUCUCUGUCGAUAUUUGCUUUAAGUAGUUCUUUCAUGCUGGCACCAUAUUUUGAUGUUUUCAGUGCAGCAGGAUGGCUCGUGCUCUUGUCAAAUGGGACUGCCAACUCAUUUCGUAUAGCCUCACCAAUGUGGAAAGAUUGAAAUGCUUCUGCAAACUCCUUCACAGGAACAUAUCGGUAGGUCUCAUCAUCAUGUUUCCAGUAUUGUCUCUGAUCUUUCCUUGAUGUAACCUACCACAUUUCAAUUGUUGCUCAUCAAAUUUGUGCAUUACAGUCCCCAAAAAAAGUUCAGUAUUACAGAAAAUAUGAUCCUAGGUUACAUAUACAGAAAUAUAUACUUCUUAAGGUACUUGAAGAUCGUUUUUAUAUAAAAUUCCCUGGUAGAAAAUGCUUGAUACAGAACUGUAAUGAAAGUACAAAACUUACUUCUUGCAAGAAGUCAGCUACACCUUUCCGCUGCGGGCAUUUGAAGCCAACCGAUUCAAAGAACUCGAGCACAUGUUCACGAGGGCCAUUGUAGACAACCUGACCAUCUGAGAGGAGAAUUAUAUCAUCAAACAGUUCAUAUGUCUCCGGUGCAGGUUGUAGCAAAGCAAUAACUGCUGUUCCGCCAACAAUAUGAAUGGUUUGCCGGAUAGAGUUCACAAUCUGAAAGGUUGUUGAGCUGUCGAGCCCCGUUGAUAUCUCAUCCAUGAAAAGGGCUCGUCCUGGAGUGACAAGCAUCUCAGCUGCAGGACCAAUUUCAGUUGUAGAUGAGUUAUAUCAUAGAGGAGUAAUAUGUAAGCGUCCCAUACUUAUUCCCAAGGUACAUUACCUGUAGUUACCCGCUUUUUUUGGCCUCCGGAUAUGCCUCUAAGCAUAUUGUUUCCAACGAUCGUGUCAGCACAGAUAUCCAAUCCCAAGACCUAUAAAUUGUUGAAAUGUAAAACAAAUAUUAGUAAUGCAUUGCUUUUGAAUAUUCUGAAAUCUUUGAGAACUUGUGAGAUAAAUUUGUCGGCACUCUAGUUGGUUGCACCUUCAGUAUGUGAUUGGUGACCACGUCAGCCUUUUGCUCUCCUGUGGCAGCAGCCUACAUAAGUAAAAUGAUGAUGCCUCAAACUUGUGAUUUUAAUGUUCGCAGGUGAUAAAGAACAGCCAGAGCCAGCUAAAAGCUGAUAUAAGAUUUGCAUCAAACCUUCAUGUAGAUAUCCGUUUCUGGAUCUGGGACGAUACUUGCUUCCUUUUCUCUCCUUGACAAUUCCACUAGCAAAUCUGAACAUUUUUGUAAUCUAAUGUUAGUAAUUCAAUAUGAUAUGCUGCGGAGAGGAGUUUUGUAUUGUCCGUCUGUUUUGAGAUGUUAAGUCUUACCAUAGCGAUGACCAAUUCCUUGGCAUUUUGCAGAGAAAUUGACUGUCUCACGGACCGUCAAUUCCCCCAUGUGCAGAUCAUGUUGGCUGACAUAUGCAGCUGAUCUCCGGGCCUCAAACUCGUCCAUUGUAUGCCCAUUGUAAGUUAUAUUCCCUGUUACCUUUUGUGAUUGCAGUGUAUCAUUAUAUCAGUACUCCCAAGGUAUAUUCAUGAUGUACAGAGUACAAUGCAAACUCGAAGCAAGUACCUUAAGACUUGAAGGAAGUGUUCCAGCCAAGGCUAAAAGCAGCGAUGUUUUCCCCGCACCAGGAGGACCCAAUAGCAAGGUCAUUCUGAAAUUAGCAGGGAUAAGACAAAAAUUUCCAUGCAGAUGAUUUGGCGAUCGUUAAUAUGACGGAAGUUACCUGUGUGGCUUGAUGAUGCCACUGACAUUGUGAAGAAUGGAUAUUUUCUGCUUCCUACUUGGUGUUAAGUGAAGAGCAUUGGCGAUGCCCUGUUUGGCGAUGGUUACCAACAUGUCAGGCCACAUAAAAGAGGGUAGCACAAGGGCAUAUCAUGUCAUCACAAUGGCGUAAAUGAGAUGCAAUGGAACCAGGUCGAAUUUCGUUAUGUUAAAUCUGCUCUGACUAAACAGUAUGUUCCGUGUUUCAAACUACAUGCUAUGAUUUCAGCACAUUGUUUCACGGAUAUUCCUUGAGUAAAAGAAAAAAAAAAAGGAAAAUUUGACAAGCCAAAUUGGUAUGUUGACCUGAAACCGGUCAGCCUACAUUCAGUUUUGUGGUUGCUUGGCCAAAUUCUUCAGUAUUGUGAUUACUCGCAAAGAUUGACACUGACUGGAUAUAGCGCGUGCAGUAGGACAGCAUGUGGUAGGACUCGCUCCAAUGAGGUUCCUCUGUUUGAUGUGACAUGCUUCCUACCAUCUAUCUUCUAAGCGCAUAUAUAGAUGUGCCCAAAUACACAAACAUGGUGUAUUAUAAAUGUUGCUUUGCCUGUUCACAAUGAUCGGUUUGUCUGAAUUAUACUACUUCAUUAUCUGAAUCCAAUUGACAAAUUUGACUAGUAUUUUGGCGCAUAAGCUAUAUUCUCUCUUUUUUUCCUGCAAAAUUUUACUCAAGUUCAAAGAGGUAGAGGAGGCAAAUUAGUCCUCGAAGUGGAACAUACCUCGAGCACAUUGGCAUAGGUGUUGAAGAUGGUGGGCAGGCCCCUGCUGCCGACAUACGCAUCUGCCUCAACGUUCAGGUUCCGGUAGCGCACUUCGAUCUUGGGCAGUUCAAUCCCAACUCUGCAGCACAGAGCAAAAAAAAACAGAGAGUUCAAAGAUUCGAAGAAGGAAAGAAUUUAUCUACACUAUCUGGCCCUAUUUUAAUUUGACUAAUCGAUCAGAUUCCAUGGCGGCGCAUGGCUGGCACUGUGGGAGACGAAGAAGAUGGCGGCGGCAAGGCAAUGGUUGGCGUCUCACCGGUCGACGCGGUCCUUGAACUUGGAGAGGAAGCGCUGGUGGUCGUCGCCGACCCAGGCGAGCCGCUGCAGCAGGGCGUGGCGCUCCUGCGGGCCCAGCUUCUGCACGUUCACCUCCCGGAGCUCGCCCUCGGGCAUGGCGAGCACGGCCGUCCGGGCCCGGUCGUAGGUGGGCAGCUUCUCCAGCGCCGCCCACCGGAGCGCCUCCUCGUCGUCCGCCGCGCCGCCAUCCCCGCGCGACGACAGCGAGAACACGUUGUCGCUCGCCGCCGACCACACCGACCCCUCCUGCCGCAGGCUUCCCAGCGCGUGUAUCUCCCCGGCGUCGUCCAUGGCGCCGCCGCCGCCGCCGCCGACAACGCCGGCGGCAAGAACUACAAUUCACUGGAUUCCUCUUGCGGUCUAGCUUGCCUCCUCCCACUACAAAGCUGGCAGGAGGAGGAUCGGUGGCAGGUCGUUAUGCCUCGUCGUGGACUGGUGCGCUCGUGUCGCGUCGGAUUGGGGCCGGGGGAGGAAGGAAAGAGACGGCCACGUUAUAUAGAGGUGGGAGGAAGGGGAUGAUGACGUAGAGCCUGACGACGGCGCGUUGCCCCCUCCUCCGUUCGCGGAAGAAACUUUUGCGGGCUACGAACUCGUGGACAACUUUUGCAUGGGGUUUGUUUGUAAUAAUAUUAAUUGCGUCGCGGAGAUAACGCUCGUGCUGAUAUGUACUACCAGCACAGCUGCACGAGGCCUUCUAGAAACACAAGUCAAACUAGAUCAAUUUGAUUUGAGGAUACAGGGGUACGAUCGAGUAUACGACUCCACGUACAGGAGGAGUUGUUCAAAUAAACUAUGACUAACGUGACGAGAAUUCAAAUAUAAAAUGACUAACAUGGCCAACCAUAUAUUGUAUAGUGUGAUUAGUAAUUUUAUAAGGAUUAUUCCGGUAUGGAAUUUGAAUUUCGCCUGGCGAAGUACCUACAGAAUUGGUAGUUGAGAACUAUAUAUAAGAAGGUACCCCUGGACCUUCUACUGUGGCUUGAUCGUAAACGUGGACUUGAUAUUGUGAGUUGAUCGAAUGGUUCAUAUUAUAAAGCACUCAAUAAAACAAAUAAUUUUUCGCUACCUUUUAAUAUGGCAAACAAUCUUUAUUUGCUAAAGAAUGCUCUGGUUUGUUCUUUUCUAUAUAUAAAUCCAUGAACGAUGAUAUAUCUAUCUAUCAUUCCACCUCAAAUUCGGAACUUUAAGAGAGAGAGAAAAAAUGAUCUUUCUAUUUUAUAUUCUGAUAUCGAUGUUCCAGUUAUAUUUCACAUUACAUUUUCCUCAAGAAAUAUUUACAUUACAUAAUUACUAGAAUUAGCUGCCUGGCAAAUCAAUUUCUAUUAUGCGGAUGAUAUAACUGGCCGCAACACACUUGUUGCGUGAAUUCCUUACUCUGCUAUUUACUCAUGACCUUUUCACUUCUGACUUUUAUGCCAACUGAAAGAGAUGGCUUCUUUUCGGGUUUGCGGUGAACACUAUGAAGUAGUUUGGGACGUCCCCGAUUCUAGAUUGGGGAUUUACAUCAACAUAUCGAGAGGAGCAUAUGAUAGGGCUAUGAUUUUGUUUUUAUUUUUAUUUUAGUAUAUAUCAGCAGCACGUGUUUGGGCAUCCACGUGUUUUCUCAUAAAUAUAUUUGGAUUUUUGAUAACCUACGUGAAAUAUGCCAUUAACUGGAUCUGAAUUAUUCUUAGUUUCUUACGCAACACAUUGAGUAUAUUAACAUUAGUGAACUCAUUUUUCUGAUGGGUAGUGAGAGCUUGGUUUGUUGCAGCACCGAUAGCAUGGAUUCCAUCCUUGGAAUCCAGGAAAAAACAUAGAAAAUCUCCGCACUGCUCUUUGGGUGAUCUCCUAGAAAUUUUCCUAUUGUGUGGUGACUGGAUCUUAAGAUAAUUUGUCAAAACAAUUUAAUUCCCAUUAGCAUUAGGCAUAUCUGAUAAGCUACCCAAAAUAUGAUAUUGACUUUUUAAUUCUGGACCCAAGACACGUGUUAUUGAAAUUUGACAUGCAAUUGACCAAUGUGGGAUUUUUGUCCAGAAACAUAUAUUAGUUUCAUAGAUUUUAUAUGUACAUAUGUUGAAAUCAGCUAGAAGUAACUGAGAUUUAAAAAUGUUAUUUUACAGGUAAACAAAAUACAUACAAGUGUUGUAUUUCAGGUAAACAAAAUUAAGCACACAUUCACUAGGAGAAUGAUAGUUCCCCGGGAACAUAUGUGAAUUUUAGAUAGAUUAUAUAAAAGCUAGCUGCCCAACAAUCAUUUUUUUAGUAAAGUUCCAUGAAUUGUCUGUCAUUAAGUAAAUUGUACCUAUUUAGGUUAAAUGGAUUUGUUAAUUAUUCCUGACACUUUUAAUUUUUCUUUUUGACUUCUUGUCUACCGAAAGAGAUGGCUUCUUCCUUUCCAGUUUUUAUAGCUAUCCCCACGAGUACUUGCAUUAAUAGACUGCACAAUCUUCUUCAUAAGGUUUGGUUACAGAUAUCUAGAAAUGUUUUUAAUGAAUCAAUUAACCGGACUUAUGGAGCAUCGACUUGCAUUUUAAUGUGGUUUCCCCUUUUAGGUGCUCUUGUUAGAUCUGGAUACACAGUCCUUUGAAACAUGAUUUCUACACAAAGGAAUUUGAAAUUUCUUUUUCAAUUCAACAUCAUAUGUAAAACCAUGUUAAUACUUAAAGUACUUCUAUAAUACCAUAUCUAUUCUUUUCUACCGCAAGAAACGGUUACUAUUUUCUUUUCUUUCAACCCUUUCACUACGGCCAAAUCCCUCUAAAAGCCAUCCGGGAUAAAUUUUCUGAGACAAAGGGGGAUCUUUAGUCCCGGUUGGUAUUUUAAAAAUAAAUAAAUAAAAGCACCGAGCGGCCUCCGCCCACCCUACGCUGCUUGCCGCCCGUCUCCGGCCCCGCUCCGCGUCCGCCCGCCGCCGCCACAAGCCCGCGCCCACUCCGCCCACCCGCGCCUCGGCCGCCCGCCUACCUCGCUCUUGGCUGCCCGCGCUCCUGCUCCGCCCGGCCGCCCGCGCGCCCGCUUUGCCGCUCCCGCUCGGCCCGCCGCCGCUACUCCUCCGCGUCGCUGGCCCGCCCGCCCAACGCCGCCGCCCACCCUCGCCCCGAUGUCGCUCCUCACUGCCAGUACGGGGUGAGCAGAGGGGGAAGGGGAGGGGAGCAGAGGGGGAGGGGGAGGGAGAGGAAGGGAGGGAGGGGAGGGCAAGGAGAAGAAGGAGGAGAGGGAGGAGAAGGAGGAGAGGGAGGAGAGGAGGGGGUGACCGUGCGCGAGGGGAAGCGCUAGUGGAAGAUAAGGAGGAGAGAGAAGGAAAAUUAAAGGAGAGAGAAGAAGUUAAUGUGGAGAGAGGGGGGCACGCGUGGGAGGACGUUUUGUCCCGUUGGAGCUACCAACCGGGACUAGAGGUGAUUUGUCCCGGUUGGUAAUUCCAACCGGGACAAAAGGGAGGUCUUUAGUCCUAGUUGGAAUUUCCAAUCGAGACAAAAGGGGGGGACGUCGCUAUAAGAUCUUUUCAACCGGGACUAAAGUCCCUCCCGUCGGUGUCCUUUCGCUGCCUCAUUUUUUACCCGAGUCUAAAGCCACUUUAGUCAUGGGCCAAUAUUAACCGAGACAAAAGGGGAUGGAUGGAAGGUUAGUUCUCCAGUAGUGUUUACACUGCUGAUGCUAUUGAAAGUGUACCAUGCAGAGCACUCAUUUUGGUAAUUGGGUACAAUGUUUGCACAAAAUGAAUUAAGUAUAUGGGGAUUUGUUCUGGCCUAAUUUUUGCAAAUUUAUACAGUUGAAUAUAAUUUGAUCACAUGCACGCUGUUUGAGAAAAGCCAAAAAAACCUGCAGACUGAGGUGUACAUUAUUGUGCGGUCAUUGUUAAUAGUUCCCACUUUUGGCGUUACAUUGAAGUGAACAUAUAUGCACAACAAUGUACAGCUAGAUGUGCUAGUUUCAUGGUAACUUCACAAAGAAUUACUGUUGUCUUUUCCUCUAAAUAAUAAGAUAACAACACUCGAGCAUAUGAACAUAGAAAGGUGUAUAGAUCAGUUCAAAAACUACAUUGUUACAAUCAUAAAAUUAGAAAGCAGUCAUUAUAUAUUUGUUUUAUGGUCUAAGUAUUUACUUUAUCAAAUUUUAUUAUUGGCCAACAAACUUGAUAUUUUAUUAUUAGGUUCAAAACUAAACAUGCUUAGUGAGAAAUAUGUGGCAAGUGAGCUUUUCUUCGCUAGUUGUUUCCCUUACUACCUGCCAUACUUUCUUCAAGUGUUCUGUUAUUAAUUAGCAUCUAUUACAUCCUAUGAGAUGAGGUAUCAGUAUCUUAACUAUCUAUUACAGUUACAACAUCUGAAGUAAGAGAAGUAGCAAUCCUAUGGCCAACUAGCAUGAAACAUCCAUACAAACUUCGGGUACCUAAAGAAUACAUAUGAAACUUUGACUGACUGCUGCUAGAAUUAUUAUUUUUCUGCACAGAGGUCUGCUAUGAUACGAAGAAAUCCUUAGCAAAACAUUAAGAGGGUUCGUUUGGUUUUGGAACCAUGUGGGUUGGGUUGGAGCCGACCCACUUUUCUGGGUUCGAGCCAACCCAUCUCUUGUUUGAUUGGAGGGAUGGGUUGGACCCAAUUUUUUGUUUGGUUGAGCUGGUUGAGUGGGUUGGGAUAGAUAUCUGUUUAACACCGUUAGUUGUGGACCCCACCUGUCAGCCGUGGGGCCCACCUGUCAGCCUCUCUCUCUCUUUUUUCCCCAACCUUCCAUCUUCUUCCCCGCAAGUCCUUCCCCACUGAGGGGAGCUCGCGACAGCGGUCCUCCUCCCUGCCGCCGGUGGUCCGCCCCCCUGCGCCGCCUUAUCCCCGCCACCGGAGGUCCUCCUCCCCCACCGAGCUCGCCCGGCCGCGGCGGGGCUCGAGCUCGCCCGGCGCACCUCCCUGUCGCGUCGGCAUCGGGCGGGCGGAGGGCAGCGCGAGUGGAGGGCGGCAGCGGAGGGCGGCGCCGGCGUCGGGCAGACGGCGAGCGGCGCGAGUGGAGGGCGGCGCCGGCGUCGGGUGGGCGGCGCGAGUGGAGGGCGGCAGCGGAGGGCGGCACCGGCGACGGGCGGGUGGAGGGCGCCGUCGGGUGCGCGGUCGGACGAGCGCGAGAAGAAACGGACGCGGACGCUGUUCAAGUGGGUCGGGGUGAUUCCUUGUUUUUUUAGGAAUCGGAUGAACCCGGAUCUACGAGGAAUAUUUCUCUACUGGAUUGAACCUAACCCCCACCCUCUCUAACCAAACAUGGGUCGAAGUGGGUCGGCUCCAACCCAACCCACUUCGACCCCAGAACCAAACACUACCUAAGCGUUUGUUGUGUUUAUGUAUAGGUUUGUUGUGUUUAUGUAUAGAGUCUAGCUGGGGGUUUCACUUGCAACAGAGACAUCCUUUUGGGUCUCGGUGAAGGGAAAAGGUAGCAAGAGGUUCUAAAUUAUUGUGGUCACUGAUUUGAUACCGACUCCACUCCCCACUGUCCACUUCCCAGGUUAGAGGGAAUCGCUGUCCAAUUGGAGGAAGCAUCGGUAGCCUCCAGGCUCCAGCCCCCAGCCUCGCCCCCCCCCCCCCCCCCCCCCCCCCCCCCCCCAGUGAAUUAUAAACGGAUCAGAUGGUGACGGAGGUGAGGCGGCUAUAGUUGGGUAGAGGACAAACAAUAAUGCAACUGUGCAACACGAGUGCAGCCAAAACAUCCGGUUCACGAUAUUUUCGAUCAUUGACGUACGCAAAAGAUUGAAUUUCGUGUCAAGCAAAAAACAUCCGCGAAUUUCUUUCUCUUUCUACGGAGCAACCAUCUUUCUAAUUUCUAACAUUUUCAGUUCUGGCACGCAAAGAAAAUUCCAUAUCUUGUAGGUGGAAAAAGCUACUGGUGUGGAACGAAUGCUCCUACUAGGUACAUACUCUCGAGCAAUACAAAGGAUUCCCUAUUCUGAUCGAUGCUGUCUUUAUCUUCCUCUCGUUCAACAACCACUUAUCAUUGUCCGGCUGCUAAGAACUUAUUAUAUACCAAAAAAUCGUUUUCCUAGUGGCUGGCGAUCAAUUUCUUGAUUCAUAAUUAAUUUAAACUAUAUCCGGUAGCUAACUGGUGUGCUACUUUUGUGUUAUGUCAAUAAUGCACUGUCCAUGCCGAUGAUGGGCGUCCAGAUCUGCCUGUCGGCUAAAUGCCACAUUACUGAAACUAAAUAAACCCAGAUUAUCUCUGGUGCGAUAGAUGGUGGCCGGGGUUGUGAGUUGUAGGCGAAUCACAUCACAUCACAUCACAUGCCUACUAGUAGAAUUUAAAUUUUUGUUUUUGAGGCCUGUUUAGUUGUCAAAGUUUGGAGGUGCCAAAUUACUGUUACAGGACUGUAGCACACUGUAGCGUUUCGUUUGUAUUUGUGAAUUAUUAUCCAAACAUUGACUAAUUAGGCUCAAAAGAUUCAUCUCAUAAAGUACAACAAAACUGUGCAAUUAGUUUUUAAUUUCGUCUACAUUUAGUACUCCAUACAUGUACCGCAAGUUUGAUGUGAUGGGGAAUCUUCUUUUUGCAUAGUGCCAAAGUUAGGAGUUGGGGGUGAACUAAAUAAGGACUGAGUAGCUAUGCUGGUGGUACAGAUGCUUGGAGAUUACCUCAAUAUCUUUUUUACAAAAUGGCAAGUUCAAAACGUUCACGUGUAACAAAAGAUGACGAGGAAACACGGGGUGGCGGCCGUGCAGAUCAUCAUACCGCUGGUGUCUCAGGAGUCAGGACUUUUGUUGCGUGACUUCUCGUGAUGCUGGCUGCUUUUAGGUGUCGUGUUUGCAUUCGUGGGUUGACCUCACCUGCUGGUGUCGAUCAACGAGCCUUGGAGACAUAUAUGUCGUUUCUAGCAAAUGCAAAACCUCCUUUCACCACCACUGAAAUUAAUUGGUUGUCGGUUGAUGUGUGCUAUGUCAGGUCAAACGCAACAGAUUGGAUGGAUUCAUGGCUGCUAUGUUGAUGCCAGAUUAGUAAUGGAAGUUUCAUAGGUAUUAAUUUCUAUACCACAUCAGCAAAAUUACUGACUUAACACGAUCAUUAAAAGAGGGAGUUUCAUCAGAUGAGAGAGGAGUUUCAUCUCUAGGACGCUCAUUUGGCUCAAUUACCUAGUUUACAGUCUUGAUAACCGUGUAAUUAAACUGUGCACUGAAACUGACCUUAGCACGCAGGACUCACCGACUCAGAUUGUGCAUGUGAAGCAAAAGGGAAAGGACAACUGGUAUCUGCUUCCGAUACUUCUUUCUUGCUGGGGGGUCGAUCUCCAAGGCUCCAACGCUAUAGGCUGACGUCGUUACCCUCGUAAGCUCGUAUGUACGCGUGCGAGAAUUUCCCCAAUAACAAGUUCGAACCAGAGCUCUGGAUCGCAGUGGAAGCGAAACAUCUUAACAGUCUAUUUCUGAGAGUGGCAUCGCAAUGGAAGAUCAAUGUUGUGUCUGUCUAUUGGGGAUCGCCUAAAAACUAAACAACCUUGAGCACCGUUCGUAGGUAAAAACUCCUUAACCUCCCAAGUUCUGAACCAACAAAAAAAACCUGGUUAACCUCGCAUCUUCUUUGCUACUUUGGGAUUUUGAAGCCAACAACUAUUAGCUGAUGACUAAGCUCCAAUUGAACUAACCCUCCUCUUCUACUCUUUACUCAGGAUCGGAAUCUGAAGGGAGACAUCGCGAGGUUACAAGCUCUUAAAGUAACAUAACGGACCAAGUGCCACGAGGUUGGACGUCCUUCUUGGGCCGAGAGUGAAGGCACGAGGUUGAAGGUUUUACCCGGCGCGAGGGUGAUGAUACGAGGCUAGAAGCUUGAUCUGGCGCGGAGGAGAAGACCUAAGGUUGAGAGGAUGAAGACGUGAGAAGCAUGACUACAUGAAGGUGUGAGAAGCGUGACUACACAAAGGCGUGAGAAGCGGGACUAUGUAGAGGAAUUUAAUUUGUACACGUUACCCCAAUGACCUUUAUGUACAGCAUAUCCUAGGAAUAUCGUAGCUCAGAAAGGACAUUUUCAGAAUGUAAAGUGGUUCACAGGUCACUAUAAAAGGGGAGCCCUACCCCGUUGUAAGGGGGAGAACUCAUUGUUUUUCUAAGCUUUCAAGUGUUAUCGGUCUCCAUUCACACAUCUAUUAGUGCCGAACCGCUUUGGGACCAACGUCGCCCACCGUGUUCUUAACCAUAAAAUAACCCAUGAUGCCACAACCAAAGAAGAAGAAGACCACACCGUAGGAAACCAGCGAGGGUGAAAGAGAGCAAGAGAGAGGGCUUGUUCCCAUUGAUCAAGACAACACAGACACCCUAGAGAAACUAAAAAGAAUCGAGGCCAGUUUAAGAACAAGAAGUGAGAAGAAAAGAGCCGAGGCGGAGAUCUCGAACAAAGCACAACUAGAAACAAGCAUAAGAAACAAUCUACUUGGGGAGGCAGAAAAAGAAUUGGCCUCGGUGUUAAAGCAGCUCGAAAGCCCGAAAAAAGAGAAGGAAAGAUUUGUUCAAGAAUUGGAAGCAUAACAGCUAGUGGCCAGCAAAAUAGCAAAAUUAAAUUAAGCAAAAAAACAAUUAGCGGAAUUGCAAGAAGAGUUGGAUGAGCUGCAAUACUUACAAAACACGCCACCACAACCACCACUUUCGACAUAGCAGCAUGUCAUGAAUGACACACCUAUCCCACAUGCAAAUCCCAACCUCGUUGGACACAACACCCUAGCAAUGACAAAUGUUUACGUAACAGUUGAUAAAAACUCUCCAUUGUCUUUGGGCUUGCAAACGGCUCUAUGGCCUACAACCUACAAGGCGGUCACAUUGCCAAAAUUCAAUGGGCAAAAUGACCCUCGCCAGUUCCUCAUGAGCUACGAAGCUGCAGUAGCAUCUGCUGGAGGAGAUGAUGUGGUUUUAGCCAAGUCCCUAAUCAUAGCCUGCAAAGGAGCAGCGAUGAACUGGUACUCGCUAGUUCCACCAUAGUCAAUUUACAAUUGGAUAGACUUCAAAACUAAGCUAAUACAAAAUUUCCAAGGCUUCCAUCAAACAACAUCAGCCCCGAGCAACUUGUUUCAUUGCAUCCAAAAAGAUAAAGAGCCCCUAGCCAAUUAUGUCAUAAGAUUUGUGUAACUAAAAUCGCAAACUCCAGAUGUGGAUGAAAGUGUAGCCAUAGUAGCCUGCAUCAGAGGACUAGCACCAGGCCUAAUAUCUUCACUUCUAACAAGAGAAAAGCCAAAAACCAUGGAAGCUUUGUUCGCCGAAUUGGAAAGGUAUUGCAGAUCAGAUGAGGAUCAUAGAAAAAGAGUGAUGGAAAGAAACCGCGAAAGGCAAGUUCAAAACGACCAAAAUUGGCAAGCCUCGAGAUACAAUUUCGCACAACACCAGCAGCCAUACCCAGCUCAACACGUGCUACCAAUCGAGGGUGCUCAAGCCUCACAACAACAAAACCAAAAUCAUGGUAGACAACCUCAGCAACAAUAGCAAGCAAAUUAUGGCAAUAGGCAGAGAGGCGGUUAUAGCGGAAGAGGGAGAGGCCGAGGCAGAGGACCUCCGAGGCCCUACAACCAAAACAAUCAACCUCGAAUGUUUUAUUGCACCUUUCACGACAAGCAAUUAGAUCAUGCAACUGACUUUUGCUCAGAAAAAAAGACCUUCGAAAGAAUAGCUGAAGAAAAAAGUGCUUCCGUAAUAUCUAAAACCAUCCACUACACCUCUUUUUGGCCACAACAGCCAUACUUCCAAGCUUAUCCACAUAUAAACCCAAAUACCAACCUUGCAAACUUUCAACCUGCCAUGAUGUGGCAACAUUCACCAUAGUUUCAACCCCAAAGUCAGCAAGCCUCGCAAGUUGCAAGCUUCGCACCUUCCCAACCUCUACACGAAAUACCACUACCUCCACCAAACCUACCCAACCAAAUACCUAAAGCCGAGCCUAACAAUACUCAAAAUAACAACCCCAAAG
Molecule: long non-coding RNA, 41949 nt
Filed under: Setaria viridis
Lineage: Eukaryota; Viridiplantae; Streptophyta; Magnoliopsida; Poales; Poaceae
Description: long non-coding RNA (SVIR_LNC002040)
Source: RNAcentral